UCCUCGCACGGCUUUCUCGCACCGCUGCACAGCGCAUCCCGCUGCAUUCACGCCCCGCGAUCCCUCCUCCCCGCUUCACUGUCACUUCCUGCGUUGCGGAGCCGAUGCCGGCUCCUGCAGGGUGCGAAGUCCACGCGUCCCGGGCGGCGGCGGUGGGGCUACUGCUGCUGCCGGGCUGAGAGAGGCUGGCGCCGGGACAGGGAGCAGCCCCAGCCAUGGCGAGCCGCCCGCUCUUCCGUGCGCUCAUCAUGGGCCCUCCCGGCUCUGGAAAGGGAACCGUGUCGGAGCGCAUCGCCAAGAGCUUCGGUCUGAAGCAGCUCUCCAGCGGGGAGGUGCUGCGCGCCAAUAUCCGCGACCACACAGAGGUUGGAUCGCUCGCCAAGUCGUUUAUUGACAAAGGGAAACUGGUGCCCGAUAAUGUAAUCACUCGGCUAGUACUGCAAGAACUAAAGAAUAUAGAUCAGUACAGCUGGCUGCUGGAUGGGUUCCCCAGAACUGUCCCGCAGGCAGAAGAACUGCACAAAAUUUACCAGCUGGACACCGUCAUUAAAUUGAAGGUUCCCUUUGAGACCAUCAAAGAGCGCCUGACAUCCCGCUGGAUCCACCCUGGCAGCGGGAGGGUUUACAACACGAACUUCAAUCCGCCCACAGUGGCAGGGAUUGAUGAUCUCACAGGAGAACCUCUGGUUCAGCGUGACGACGACAAGCCAGAGACGGUGACAUUAAGACUCCAGGCCUAUGAAGAAUUAACCCAGCCGGUUCUGGAAUACUAUCGGAGUAGAGGUGUUUUAGAGGUCUUCUCGGGAACAGAAACCGACAAGAUCUGGCCUCAUGUCCAUGCCUUCCUCAGUAAGAAGCUGCCAGUGCUGUGUUAACCGGAGCAACGGCAAGAGGACAGAAAGCAAGCUCUCUAAAAUGACUUUGGUGCUGAUUGCAUAACUAAUAGAAGGGGAAAUGUUGUGAAAAUUAUCUUUUGAUAUUUUAAACAGAAAUGAUAUAGAUUUUUCAAUGUAUUUUUAGCAGAAAUUUUAAGGAAACAUUUUAAAAGUAUUGUUCGUAGCUAAUUAAACAACAAAAGUUAGUGUUGAGAACUAAAACACAAAUCCCUGUUUUGUUUACAAGGUUGACAACGUGUUGUACUAGUAUUAAUUAUUUCACACGGACCAAUAAUUUGUGGAACAAUUUGUGUGAUGUCCAGUUGAAUGAGGACCCUAUCAUGGGCUACUACAAAAGAUAGGAUGAGGCAGUUUUUCCAAACGGACGAGGAUAGAACUGGUUAUAUGUGGUUUUAAAAAAGGCCAAGUGCUGGUGUAACAAAGCAGGUCAGGCAGCAAGUCUGGAAAACAUGGAUUGGUGACGUUGCGGAUUGGGGCUCUUCUUCAGUCUGAACAAGGGUCCCAACACGAAAUGUCAGCUGCCUAUGUUCUCCAGCGAUGCUGCCAGACCCGCUGAGGUACUCCAGCACUUUGUGUGUUUUUCUUUCCACGCCAGCAUCUGCAAUCCCCCGUGCCUCCGAGGCCAUACGCGGUGUUGCUCAGGAACUGCACGUUGGCCGGCUGGUUGACACCAAGCUGAGUCCUUCAGUCACCGACCAACGUUUCCUGUCACUGACACAGUAUGUGCAGAGGAAGAUGUACGAUGACCGAUUGCAGGUCUUUUUGAAGUGUCCCCAGUCAUGUUGGUUAGUAUGGCUUCCUGGAGUAAGUGAAGACUGGAGAAGUGGAAGCCCUUCUCUGAAACAUUGUCACUGGCCUUAAUGGGAAGGGAAACUAGUUCACGAAUCUGUUUGCAGUUUUUGAAGCAAAGAAUGUCGUCAGGUGCUUAAAUAUAAUUUAUGGCACCCACACCCAUGGUUGGGCAGUAAAACACAGUAUGAAAAUCAGAAAAGUUAGACAAGGGUUCGUGACCUUUGGUCUGAACUGGGGGGGGGGGGGGGUGGGUGGGAGGAGAUACAACAGGUUUUAAGGAUGUGCAGAUGCAGGGAAAAGAUAAAGAAACAAACUAAAUGCUG
This is an RNA transcript of Amblyraja radiata (thorny skate), 2011 nucleotides long. It is a transcript of the gene named adenylate kinase 3, with no coding region annotated. The record is from RefSeq and is a predicted model, not a curated record. NCBI's taxonomy places the organism in Eukaryota, Metazoa, Chordata, Chondrichthyes, Rajiformes, Rajidae. The transcript has 6 exons.